CUGAAGAUGAAUACUGUUUGUAGUGAAAAUACCUAUCUGUAUGGAGAGAAGCAUCCAUGUCGACUGUGGGACUACUUUGUGCAUGAUACUGAACAGCUGCAGGGACAAUUUGUGCAGAAGACUGUAAUGUUUCUUCUUGGUCACUGCAAUUGAGUCCUUUGUCUGGAUGCUAGAGCUGUGUUGCCUGGUACCUCCCCUGGCCCAAGUUUAACGUGCAAAGGAAAAAGAAGCUUUAAUGAAAAGGUCUGUGGAUGAAGGAUUCUAUUUGUGGCAAAUAUUGUUUGCUCACUAACUGAAGUCCUCUUUGAUGGAAAGAAACUUAUCAGCUUCAGAAGGAGAAUGGAAACUUAAGUUGAAGACAUCAGGCCAACCGUGAUUUCUUGAAG
This is a long non-coding RNA of Cygnus olor (mute swan), 386 nucleotides long. RefSeq lists it as uncharacterized. Lineage: Eukaryota; Metazoa; Chordata; Aves; Anseriformes; Anatidae. The transcript is spliced from 4 exons. The record is from RefSeq and is a predicted model, not a curated record.